GCUCCCUUCGAAAGUUUGAACCAACGUUUUCGUCCACCAUUGUCACGAUGCCAGCGGGAAACUAAGACUGACGAGAAACAUUCCUUUUAACAGACAUCUGACAUCACAAGUCAUCGCAGACAGGUAGCUGUGGAAGGUCUUCCCAUAUUUCUGCGGGAUAAUACUGAGAAGCUUUUCUCUAGAUGCCUGGCAACUGAUGCUGAUGACAAACAGAUAAAAGGCAUCAAGAUGGGGGUCCUCACAGUGCUUGAUGAUGAUGACGACGACGACAACGCAGUCAUUAAUAUUGCCCUUGUGUUGGAGGAAACCACUGUCCUGAAAGACAUCCCAGACACCCCGACUGCGCUUGCGUAUCUUUUUGGCUUACUUUAUGCCCUCAACAUGGAGUUCCCAAAAGACAAUAGGUAUACCUUUGAAACUAUCCAGCACAUUUUGGACAGCGUGUCCGGAGCUUCAAGACCAAGCUGUUAAUCCAGUGAUUCAUUUUCCAUGGGGAAGAUUUGUUUUAUUGUGUUUGUUCAUUUAUGUUUGGAUAUUUGUAGGUCUUCCCAUAGUCCACCUUUUAUUUUGUAUAUUCUUCCUUUAUUUUGACUUCUGUUAUUUUGAAACAAAUCUUUUAUUUGUAGCUGUUAAAUAACUGCUAUGAUUUUUGUAAAGCCUCAUUUACAAAUGCAUUCAAUGAUACUGAUUGUUUCUCAGUAGAUGCAAACUUUGUUUCAGCAUUGCUGGUAUAGUAUUUAUCUUUGCUGGUGUGGCAAGUGUCCAGGGGGAAGUUUUUUCAAUCAUGUCUGUUAAUUUAUUAUUUUUUGAAUAUUUUGUAAGUGUUCACAUAGACCACCUUAUAGUUUUUAUUUUGUUCUUUUUGAUUUCCUAAAACUUAUUGACAUGUGCCUUAUUUGCUCUGGACACAAGUGCUUUAUUUGAACUAAAAACAAAUAUUUUAUUUGUAGCUGUCAUACUGUUAUGAGACUGGUGUUCAUUGU
Molecule: non-coding RNA, 983 nt
Organism: Paramisgurnus dabryanus
Lineage: Eukaryota; Metazoa; Chordata; Actinopteri; Cypriniformes; Cobitidae
Source: RefSeq, a predicted model, not a curated record